This 915-nucleotide long non-coding RNA is filed under the name Homo sapiens (human). RNAcentral's name for it is "EGFR interacting lncRNA". Lineage: Eukaryota; Metazoa; Chordata; Mammalia; Primates; Hominidae. The record is from RNAcentral.
CGGCAGAACAGCUGACACCACCAACUUUAAAGAGCCCAACUGAUGAACUGAUCAGCAUGAGAAUACUGUUUUUUCAUCUCUCUGUCCCAUGACUUCACUCUGCAUUCUUCAACCAAUUAGUGAUCUCUUAUUUCCACCUACUCCAAAUCCUUAAAAACAACAGCCUCAAACUCUUUGAGGAAAUGGAUUUGAGGUUUCCUUCCAUCUUUUGGUUCAGCAGCCCUGCAAUUAAACCUCUUUCUCUGCUGCAACCCAGUGUCUUGGCAUAUUGACAUGCUGUGCACAUCAGGCAAAAGACCUAUUACCAUUACAUGAGGACCCCUCCGGAGGGAGAUAAUGGUGGGGGCAUUUCUGGGAGGCUCUGCUUUAGUCAGGGUGCACGUGUUGCCGCAGGAAUCGCUGGUACAUGCCAUCCUGGCCAUAGGAGGGCUGGACCAGCCCCAGCCCCAGCAGGGUCAGCAGCAAAAGCAGAAGCAAUGAAUGGGUCCUCUGCAGAGCCAUCAGUAUCUUAGAGGUGCCUAGAAAAGAAAGCAAGGGGCAGGAGAAAUAAGAGAGAAGUUGCUGUGGCCAGUACAAUGACACAGGGCAGGGACUGACUGCGUGGCUGCCAGGUUUGUGUGGACAGAGUAUAAAAAGAGAGAAAAGGGUGAGGUCAGGCCCCGUCUCCUCAUGAUGCUUUCACAGUAUCUGUCAUCCCGGCCCUGUGGUUUGGCAUCAUAGUGCUGGGUCAGGAAGUGUGUGUACCUGGAGUUAUCCUGAGCCAGGGUCGGUGGGGUCAGACCCAGACCCAGCACGAAGACCAACAACAAAACGCCCAGGCCCAUCACCAUCUCUUCCAACACAGGCUCCUGCGGAGGGCAAAAGGAGGUGUGGUAGACCCAAGAACAGCAUCACCAAAUUAGGCCAAAAGGACAG